Molecule: long non-coding RNA, 3255 nt
Filed under: Canis lupus familiaris (dog)
Lineage: Eukaryota; Metazoa; Chordata; Mammalia; Carnivora; Canidae
Description: lncRNA (ENSCAFG00845023152.1)
Source: RNAcentral
CUUGCUUUCCAGGCACAUGCAGGGACCAUGAGAGGCUGGGCCAAGUCUCUCCGAGGUGCGGGAGGAAUCACUGGCGGGCGGUGCGGGUCCACGUGCGUGCGGCAGCGGAGCCCACUGGGCUUCUGCGGGCCUGGGCUGGUGGCAGCGCGGGGGCGGGGGGUGGCGAGCGCGUCCUCCCCUCUGCACCCCGAGCUGCCCCGCCGCUGCAACUCCACCUCUCUCCGCUGCUGAUGAAGGAAUCCGAGGACUGAAAGGCAGCCACGACCCCGGGGCCGGGCGGGCGGCUGGCCCCGCUCCGCGUGAUUGGGCACCGUCUGCUCGGAGCCCGGGGCAAGGCAGUUGAGGCGGCCGGGCUCCGGUUGCCUGAAAGAGCCCGAUCUGGGUCCCAGCCCCGCGUGUCACUCCCCUCCGACAGCACCGCAGCGCCGCGGCCUGAUUAAUGCGGUGCGCGGGGGCCUGCAGGAGCCGGGCUCGCGGUUCCCGGCAAGCGGCCCGGGCGCCCCUGCGGAGACGCGGCUCCGGCUGCUCGGCUGCGACCCCUGGCGGCCGGCGGAGAAACUCUCCGCAGAGCUUCCCAAGCGAAGGGGCCGCUGGACAGAAAGCAAAAGGGAGGAUUUUAAAAGAAACUGGGCUGCAUUUUAGAAGAGGCAUCUAUCUAUCCAGGGAAAUGAAACAUACUUGGGCUUCUUCCAGUGCCUUCGGUGAGCCUGAGUCACAAGAGCCAAUAUAAGACAGGAGUGAAGAGCCUGGACACUUGAGGCACAGUGUAAAUCCAAUGUAUGUAUGUCGCUCACUAACUGUGUGACCUUGAGCACUUUGCUCAGCCUCUCUGAAUCUCUAUUUUUUCUUGUCUAGGAAGCGGAGUAUAUGAAAAAUGCACCUCCAGGAUUGUGGUGACAAAGAUGCAGUAGCAUCUGAGGCGUUCUUGCCCUAACCUCUCUCUCCAGGAGAGAGAAGCUGUCCGAUGCUAUUUGCAUUCCCUUCCCUAGCAGGACUCCUUUGGGACAUGACUGUGAUACAUACGGUUUGAGAACAGGCCAUGUGCCUGUGAGCAACACAGGAAUGAAUCCUCCUUCGUUUUCCCUGACUCCUUCCCUUUCUUUCUCAUCAGUUCACACAGCCCCUGCCUGAACAGAAUGAUGUGUUUGGUGUGCAAGAAGCUUCUUGGCAUAGAGCUGAUCCUAGCUUGGGAUGGAGCUUGAGGCUUUCAGUUGGUUCUUAAAGGCUAUGGAUCAAUGUCCUUGUUCUCCAUGGUGUUAGCAUUGCAAGCAUGCAACGGUUUGGUGUGCAAUGUUCUCUGCUAGGGGCUGGCGUGAUGAAAAGUUUCUCUAGGGGCUCCAGCCUGCAAGAGCACAGUCUAGUUGGAAAGACGUGCCGUACAUAGAGAAAAAACUAAAUAAUAACUUACAAUUAUAAAAUAGCAUCUGUGAAGGGUCAAAUGAGGAGCCCGCUAGCACUAUAGGAAAUCAGAGAAUGAAAACUGACUCAGGGGUGCCUGGGUGGUUCAGUCGGUUAAGCAUCUGCUUUUGGCUCAGGUCAUGAUCUCCAGGUCCUGGGAUCAAGUCCCACAUUAGGCUCCCUGCUCAGCGAGGAGCCUGCUUCUCCCUGUUCCUCUGCCUGCCACUCCCCCUGCUUGUGCACUGGCUCUCUCUCGCUCUCUCUCUCUCUCUAAAAUAAAAUAAAAUAAAAUAAAAUAAAAUUAUAAAACAAAACUGACUCAGAUCAAAUUUGAGAGCCCAUGUACUACAGAAAGUGUCCUGGUACUUUGAUGAGGUGGGCAAGCUCUUCUCUGGAAUUCAGGUUAUAUCACUAGAAGGGUGCAACACAGGGUAUGCUAUCCACAGUGAGGAAGAACAUGUGGGGAAAAUCCAACUUCUCAAAGUCUCCUGAAGAUGCCAGCCACCUCUAGCUUCAGGACAUUGGGGGCUUAUCUCAGGGAAUGACUCUCAAAGACUCCACCUCUCAGAGUAUGACUGCUCCAUGCCCAUCUUCCAGAGGACAAAACUGAGUUGCAAAUAAAUCCCUAUGCAUGAGCUAGAGAAAGAAGAUAGGUACAGAGUUACUCAUGAUUCCUUAUCUGUUCAUUCAUCAGUCCACUUACAUAACAUCCAUCCUUCCAUGUAUCCAUUCAGUCCUCCAUGCACAUGCUAAAUAUUAUAUUUGGAAACUUUUAAAGAUUUUAUUUAUUUAGUAAUGAGUGACAUAGAGAGAGAGGCAGAGACACAGGCAGAGGGAGAAGCAGGCUCCAUGCAGGGAGCUGGAUGCAGGACUCGAUCCCAGGACCCUGGGAUCAUGACCUGAGCCAAAGGCAGAUGCUCGACCACUGAGCCACCCAGAGGCCUCAUUUAGCAAUUGUUGUAUGCCCAGCACUGGUCCUGUGCUGUGAGUACCAAAUUAUGAUGCUUUUCCUUUCCCUCUACCCUGAUCAAGAUCCUAUAUCACCCUACUCAAUUUUAAAGAGUCUCCCCUUUUGUCCCACCGCAUGUGGGGACCAGAUGUACUGUGCGAUUCACGUGGCUCAUUCUAUUGCAGUAACAGGGCCCUGACAAACACGGAUCCCACCACUCUGGUCAGCAAACUGUCAUAUUGAAUCUAACAGCUGAGAUUUUACACAUCUACCCACUACUUCCUGAAGGUACAGGAAGAAUAGGACUCACAGUACUGGCCCCUUUCGGAUCAGAGAGAAAUACAUCAAGCCGUCGCCUCACCCUACAUCUCUGAUGACUGACUCACGAGCUGGUUCUAGCCUCUCCCUCGCGAUUGCCCGCCUCCCUGGGUGUUCACCUAAAACCAUCCCGGGAGCCUUUCCCCCUGGCUGGCUGCCUCUCUCACUCCCACCCUCUGCCCUCAUGGGAUUUGUGACAAUCCGUGCUCUUUAAAAAAUUUGCUGGAGUGUAUUUGUGUGCUUUAGUGGUGGCGGAAUGCUGUAUAAUUAUCUCCCAAUUCAUCAGGCUCCUUAACAGGCAAAUGCCUUUUUUUCCAAUAAGUUUUUCUGGCUGAGGCACCCAUAGGCCUUGUUGCUACGGAAACCAGAACGUUUCUUUCUCUAUUUUAAUGGUGUGUUGAAAGCUCUGUGUGUAUGUGCGCGCACACAUAUGGUAGCUGCUCGCUUUUACAGCUCUUUCUUCCCUUCCUACCUCUGCGGACCUGUCUGGCAUUUUCUCCCCACAUCGCAUGUUCCAGAACGUUCCCCCCUCCUCCAGAGCCCCUGCUCGUCCGUCCCCUUCCUGCCUUUCACUGUGCCCCCACCUCCCC